GGGUGUGUCUCAGUUGGCUUGGGAACAUUUUCCUCUUUUUAAGAAAAGACAUUAGAAAGAUGAACUCUCUUCUCUUCCUGAAGACACUGUUUUGCCCAGAAGUGGUGCGGGAUCACCUGAGAUGUCUCACUACCUGCCUGAGGAUGACAGCACAGAAAGGCUGGAAAGGCCUAGGUCUGUCAAUCCUCGGAGCUCUGCCACCUCAACCCAACUGCCAACUGCCCCAUGAAACCUGCAGAGGUUGUGUUUCUGUCUCAGCAGGUGGACGCCUCCUGAUAGAAAUGCUGGGUGCUCAUAAAAACAAAACAACAAAGACCUAGAAGCUGGAACCCUGGGCUCCAUGACGAGAGACACUAGCUCCUAACUGCAGCAGCCCAGGGUUCUCCCCAGUGCCCACCACCCCGCCUGCUCCACACCGGGGCCGCCCCCCGCCCCCAACACGUGCAGUACCUCUGAACAGGGCCGCCAGGGCCCAGCCUUCCCGUGUGGACCUUGAGGGGGCCCUGUCCACACCUCAGCCUCAUGAGGAGCGGCCCGGACACAGUGACGAGUUGGUGACAGGAGCCCUGCGCCCAGGACUCCUUGUUCUGUGCCUUCACUGUGUUUGUGCCUUUCCAAAGCGUUCCAACUUCCUCACAUUGUUUUUCACUAUGAAAAACUUCAAAUAAAAACAAAAGCAGGGAGCCAGGGAUGUAGCUCAGUGAUUCCGUUGCCGGCCUUACAAGCACAAGUGCAAGGUCCUGAGUUCGAUCCCUGGUACAAAAAACAAGAAAAGCUGGAAUGGUGACCCACACCUCGUCACUCCAUUCCUGCUCUCCGUCCCACCCACCCGUCCCUUCUCACGUUCUUCAGAAACAAAUUCCAAGUUUCGUGUUACAUCCAUCUGCCUUCAUACGUAUUUCAAGAUGUCUCUCUAAAAGGUGAUAACCCUUCAAAGUAUAUGACCACAAUGCCGCUAUCACAUUUGAAACAAAUAACCCCAGAUACCGUCAGACAUCCAGUCAGCACUGAGAUUUCAACUUCUGUCAUAAACAGCACAAAAUGACACCCAGAUGGUCUCUUUUCUCCAGAAAACAAGCCAAUAGGUCUCUGGCAACUCGAUUAGGGUUACGCCUCUCCUCAGUACUCU
This 1129-nucleotide long non-coding RNA is filed under the name Fukomys damarensis (Damara mole-rat). RNAcentral's name for it is "lncRNA (ENSFDAG00000029904.1)". Lineage: Eukaryota; Metazoa; Chordata; Mammalia; Rodentia; Bathyergidae. The record is from RNAcentral.